AACAGCUUCUCCCCUAAACCCUAGCUUCUCCACCACCGCCGCAAGGACUGCCGCCGUCCGACGCUCUCAGGCACUACCAUCGUCGUCUGGUCGUCCGUGCUUCUUCCUCCUUCAAGAAUCGCAGCUUCUUCUUCCUCGACCUCGGCGCGUCAGUUCCUGGUAUUCAUCUGCUCCAUCGCGCUCCUGCCGCCGUCCGUCCGGCGCUCAGUCACCAUCGUCUUCGUCUGGUCGUCACAGAUUCUUCCAACCCACCACCGUCUUCUGAGUUGUGUUCGUCGCCUGGCCUCUGUCUCCGUCACGAUUCUGCCCCCCUCUUCUCAGACUGCUCAGUAGAAAAACCCAUCUCCAUUCCAGUUUCCUUCCUUCGAGUUCAGAGAGAAGAAGCUCAACCAAGAAAAAAACCUACUUCGACGGUCAGUAUGUACCCGAAGCCAUGCAUCAUAUCCCUCCAACUCCUUCCAUGGCUGCUGCAAGAGAAGAAGCUGAGAAUGUUAUGUUUGGUGCUUUGGAUAAUCUCUCUGCUAAUACAAAGAUUAAGCCUAAGGAUAUUGGUGUUCUUGUUGUGAAUUGCAGUUUGUUUAACCCAACUCCUUCACUUUCUGCAAUGAUUGUGAACAAGUACAAGCGUAGGGGUAACAUUAGAAGCUUCAAUUUGGGUGGUAUGGGUUGUAGUGCAGGAGUUAUAGCCAUUGAUCUUGCUAAGGACAUGCUUCAAGUUCAUAGGAACACUUAUGCUGUUGUUGUUAGCACUGAGAACAUUACUCAGAAUUGGUACUUUGGGAACAAGAAAUCUAUGCUGAUCCCAAAUUGUUUGUUCCGUGUUGGUGGUUCUGCUGUUUUGUUGUCCAACAAAGGCUCUGUUAAGAGAAGAGCAAAGUACAAGCUUGUUCAUGUUGUGAGGACUCAUAAGGGUGCUGAUGAUAAAGCUUUCAGGUGUGUGUAUCAAGAACAAGAUGAUGAUGGCAAAACUGGUGUUUCUCUCUCAAAGGAUCUUAUGGCUAUUGCUGGUGGGGCUUUGAAGACUAACAUCACAACUUUGGGGCCUCUUGUUCUUCCAAUAAGUGAACAGCUUCUGUUCUUUGCUACUUUGGUUGUUAAGAAGCUUCUGAAUGCAAAAUUGUAAGGAAGAAGGCACGUAUGGAAGUGAGGGAUAAAAUUUUAGUAUUGCUGGACUCAUGGCAAGAGGCAUUUGGCGGGCCUGGUGGAAAGUAUCCUCAGUACUAUUGGGCAUAUGAGGAAUUGAAGUCACCAUCGUCUUCGUCUGGUCGUCGCAGAUUCUUCCAACCCACCACCGUCUUCUGAGUUGUGUUCGUCGCCUGGCCUCUGUCUCCGUCACGAUUCUGCCCCCCCUCUUCUCAGACUGCUCAGAAGAAAAACCCAGCUCCAUUCCAGUUUCCUUCCUUCGAGUUCAGAGAGCAGAAGCUCAACCAAGAAAAAAACCUUAGACUUCGACGGCUUUAAGGCUGGCAGAUUUAUCAGCUGAGAUUUUUCACAUUGUCUAGAGUGGCUUCUUUUUACGGUAUUUGAAGCAGAUAUAUCCAGUGUUAGGAUCACAUUGGGCAGAUUUGCUUUGAGCAUUGGGAUGGCUGAGAAGCGGAAUUUGUGGAGAAUAGGGAGAGGAAGUAUCUAGGGUUUGAAGACAAUCGACUGAAAACUGCAUAAUGAGAUUUCAGGGUUUGCAUCUGAAGUUUAGGAUGGAGAAUGUUCCAAUUUUGCAUAAUUGACAUUUGACAGUGACACUUUUAAGGAUAAUGAUAUACCCAGUCGUACUGCACUUUUAAGGAUCACACUCAUGUAUUUUUAUGGACCAAAUAGCGAGCUUAUUAUCGACAGUAUUUAUUUAUUUAUGUACUUCAAAUCGUCUAACAGUUUUUGGAUGGAAGUUCAGAACACAACAAUAAUAAAAGGUCGAGUCCUUAUAUAUUGGA
RNA transcript from Arachis ipaensis, 1928 nucleotides. It is a transcript of the gene named 3-ketoacyl-CoA synthase 4, with no coding region annotated. The record is from RefSeq and is a predicted model, not a curated record. NCBI's taxonomy places the organism in Eukaryota, Viridiplantae, Streptophyta, Magnoliopsida, Fabales, Fabaceae.